AAAAAAAAUUUUAUGUCUCCAAGUACGCCGUAAUUUUCUAUGUAAAUUAGGCGGCCAUUGUCGAAUCUCGGCAAAGAUUUUACCCCAGUGAAAAAGUCCUCAAACCUGGAAGAUAUGUUUUGUUCCUAACCAAUCCAUUCUCUAAGUGAAGUGAAGCCUGGCUGCUGGUCUUCCUUUGGGGAAAUACACAGGGAAAGAAAAAAAAAACUUCUUGAGUGUUUCUACUGCCUCCCCCCAGAGAUCUGCUUAUGAGUGCAUGGGGAUUACAGUGGACCUUCAUCUCCGGUUUAAAAGAGACUUUAGAGUAUAACAGAUAAAAAGUAGAAUCCAUGACCCCCCACAGGCAGGGAGCUGGAUCUGACUGUAGAAUGAGCUGAAAGUAGGAGAAAAGCCAUAUUUAUACAGUGGAUGACGU
Saccostrea cuccullata (small rock oyster) is the source of this 415-nucleotide long non-coding RNA. RefSeq lists it as uncharacterized. The record is from RefSeq and is a predicted model, not a curated record. The transcript is spliced from 4 exons. Lineage: Eukaryota; Metazoa; Mollusca; Bivalvia; Ostreida; Ostreidae.